UUACUGUAAAGGAAAGCACCGGCUAAUUCCGUGCCAGCAGCCGCGGUAAUACGGAAGGUGCAAGCGUUAUCCGGUUUUAUUGGGUUUAAAGGGUGCGUAGGCGGCUUAUUAAGUCAGUUGUGAAAUCCUAGUGCUUAACGCUAGAACUGCAAUUGAUACUAUUAGGCUUGAGUUAAGAAUAGGUAAGUAGAAUUUAUGGUGUAGUAGUGAAAUGCUUAGAUAUCAUAAGGAAUACCAAUAGCGUAGGCAGCUUACUGGUCUUUAACUGACGCUGAGGCACGAAAGCGUGGGGAGCAAACAGGAUUAGAUACCCUGGUAGUCCACGCCGUAAACGAUGAUCACUCGGUAUACAUAAAUUUAUGUGUGUCUAAGCGAAAGCGUUAGUUGAAUC
Molecule: ribosomal RNA, 391 nt
Filed under: Cardinium endosymbiont of Bemisia tabaci
Lineage: Bacteria; Pseudomonadati; Bacteroidota; Cytophagia; Cytophagales; Amoebophilaceae
Description: bacterial SSU rRNA
Rfam family: Bacterial small subunit ribosomal RNA
Source: RNAcentral